RNAcentral lists this long non-coding RNA (231 nucleotides) under Lathyrus oleraceus (garden pea). Its description in RNAcentral is "Pisum sativum (pea) long non-coding RNA (PSAT_LNC015957)". Lineage: Eukaryota; Viridiplantae; Streptophyta; Magnoliopsida; Fabales; Fabaceae. The record is from RNAcentral.
AAUCAGUGAUAAAAUUCGGUGAGUUCUCCUUCAUUCUCUUCGUGAUUCAUGGUUCAUCGUGUAGCUUCGAUUAAUCCUCUUCCUCUUUGAUCCCGCCACACGCAAUCUGAUUCGAGUUUGAAAAUCUAGCACACUAUACGAUUCCGAUAUGAUUCCAGAGCUUUGAAUCCGUUGAAGCCAAGCGUUAUCAUGGAUAAGACUGGUAGAGUGGUGUUUUGGAGGAUGGUUAAU